AUACGGAGGGUGCAAGCGUUAAUCGGAAUUACUUGGCGUAAAGCGCACGCAGGCGGCCAAUUAAGUCAGAUGUGAAAGCCCCGAGCUUAACUUGGGAAUUGCAUCUGAAACUGGUUGGCUAGAGUCUUGUAGAGGGGGGUAGAAUUCCACGUGUAGCGGUGAAAUGCGUAGAGAUGUGGAGGAAUACCGGUGGCGAAGGCGGCCCCCUGGACAAAGACUGACGCUCAGGUGCGAAAGCGUGGGGAGCAAACAGGAUUAGAUACCCUGGUAGUCCACGCUGUAAACGAUGUCGAUUUAGAGGUUGUGGUCUUGAACUGUGGCUUCUGGAGCUAACGCGUUAAAUCGACCGCCUGGGGAGUACGGCCGCAAGGUUAAAACUCAAAUGAAUUGACGGGG
RNAcentral lists this ribosomal RNA (396 nucleotides) under uncultured bacterium. RNAcentral's name for it is "partial 16S ribosomal RNA". It matches the Rfam family "Bacterial small subunit ribosomal RNA", at positions 523 to 918 of the family's 1533-position model. The record is from RNAcentral.